Non-coding RNA from Terfezia boudieri ATCC MYA-4762, 104 nucleotides. The record is from the annotation of a GenBank genome assembly. NCBI's taxonomy places the organism in Eukaryota, Fungi, Ascomycota, Pezizomycetes, Pezizales, Pezizaceae.
GCUUCCUUGGCUCAGUUGGUAGAGCGUUGGUCUCAUAUAAUACUAUGACGCAAUCAUUAGAUAGCGACAUCCAAAGGUCGUGAGUUCGAGCCUCACAGGGAGCA